CACAAGGUUCCCUAUAAGAAGACAGGAGGGUCAAAGUGACGAGUAGGUGAUGUCAUAAUAGAAGCAGAAAUUGGAGUGAUACACUUUGAAAAUGGUGAGGGCGCCAUGAACCAAGGAAUACAGGUGGUCACUAGAAGCUGAAGGAGGUGAGGCCAUUGGUUCUCCCCUGGGGCCUCCAGAAGGGACCAGCCCAGUCAACUCUGACUUCAGCUGAGUGAGACUGAUUUUGGACUUCUGACCUCCAGGACUGUGAGAGAAUAAAUGCGUGUUGCUUUAAGCCACUCAGUUUGUGGUAACUUGUCACAGCAGCAGUAGGAAACUCAUACAGUCAGUUAUUGCUAAGGGACCAACCAUCCCAACGCUGCCGUCUCAUUCCUGGACCUAGGGGUUGCCUGGGGCAACCCUACUUCAGAUUAUAGGUUGGUUUUGAGUCUCUCCACCAGCUGCAUUCUGGGACAAUGGCUACUGGGGGUGUGCGCUUUUCAUGGCAGUGACAAAAAUGGGAGAGAAGACUAGCAGACACUUGCCAUGCCUGUUACCAUUUCAGCUCUGAGACACCCACUUCCACCCACCUUCCAUUGCCCAAAGCCGUACAAAAAGAGCCGUGGACCGGAUUUGACCCAGGGCUGUGGUUUGCUGAUCCAGGGGUCUACAUGGCUGCCAAAAUGGACACUCUGAAAUACAGAUCUGAUCUUGUCACUCCUCUCCCAGGAACUCGUCUCUAUGGCUCCCCAUUACCCACGGGAUGAAGAACUAAUUCUUUGGCUCUUAUUCAUGAUCUUGCAUGCUCUCUCCUCAGCUUGUCUUUCCAGUCUCAUGUCCUUCCAUCUCUCUCCAUGCUACAACCACAAAGAUGAAUAUUCAUAUCCACUGAUACUUCCCUUUGAUUUGAUUUCUGUUGUACCCUCUGCCUUCAGUAUUCUGGAAACUUCUUACUCAUCUCUCAAACUCUCACUCAGGUGUCCUUUUCUUCUGUGGAAUCCUCCCCAGUCUCCCCAGGAGAAUGGAUUGCCGCUAUGGCACACAGAUGACCAGCUUCGACCAGAGCCUGCAGCUGGACUCCUACUGUGUGCCAGACAUUUAAUCCUUUUAAGCCUCACAACAACUUCGUGCAACAGAAGGGAUGGCCCUUGUGUGAAGGAUGAGGGAACCGAGGCUUGGAGAAGUUACACGACGUGCCUAAGGCCCUUGUCUUUCGGAUGGCACCUUCACUUCAGACCGUCUGCCCCCAGGAGGCUUGACGAUCACUGAGAGCCACUGCUCAGAAAGGAAGAUCAUUCUUCAGGAGGUGGGAGACCUGGGAUCUAGAUGUCUCUCUACCAACCCACCUUUGACAAGCCCCUUCACCUUGCCGGGCCUCAGUUUCCCUGUUCUGUUUGGAGAACAACAGUGCCUGCCCCAUCCUGCCUCACAGAUUGCUACAAGGCUCAAUGCGGGGAAGGGCUUUGUGAAAUGCCAGCUCAGUCUGUUCCAGUUGAUUCUUACGUGAGUGAAUUCCGCAAUGACUGGGUACAGACUCUGCGCAAGUGUCACGCUAGGCUCUGGGGCCCAAAGAUGGCAGGACCUACUCUCUGCCCCCACAAGCUCACGGUCUAUUCAUGUUUCUAGAAGUGGACUUUGAUUCUGUACACUGUUCCUGCCCGUGAGGCAGAUAGUCUGCUGGCCGGUGGUGUUCUGGUGAUGGAGUUCUUUCCGUGCUAGCCUCCCUUCCUCCCCUGUGCUCUCCCCCUCCCCCACCACACUGCUUGCUCUGCAGGAAGGUGGAGCAGGAGGGCCCUCCACGCACCCUCUUAUCCGCGUGGCAGUUGAGGCCAGUGAAGCUCAGAGGACUGAAUGGCUCACCAGGACCCUGAGCAAGAUGACGGCUGCUGGGAGGCAGGUCUCCUGCCUGCUUUUUUUUCCCUUAACGUCUUACCAAGAUUUAAUGUACAUUUAUUCUUAACACAUGGGACAUACAGUAUAAAGAUUUCAUACUGAAUAAAUGAUAUUCAUUAAGCCAAAGAAGGAAAAAAAGGAGGAAUUUGCUUUGUUUGG
Molecule: long non-coding RNA, 2034 nt
Filed under: Equus caballus (horse)
Lineage: Eukaryota; Metazoa; Chordata; Mammalia; Perissodactyla; Equidae
Description: lncRNA (ENSECAG00000052852.1)
Source: RNAcentral